RNAcentral lists this long non-coding RNA (1078 nucleotides) under Manihot esculenta (cassava). Its description in RNAcentral is "long non-coding RNA (MESC_LNC003028)". Lineage: Eukaryota; Viridiplantae; Streptophyta; Magnoliopsida; Malpighiales; Euphorbiaceae. The record is from RNAcentral.
GUUUUAAUGCAUUUUUCAAAAUUGAGAGGCUAACUAGUGAGUUUUAAUUUUCGCUUUAAUUUAAUGCAUGCUCCCUAUUGUUUUUGCUAUGACUUUGCACACAUAGCUUCUUAUAAGAUAUCCUUCUUUUCAGGACAAAAAAAACUAAGCAUGUGUAUAUGAAAUUUUCUCAUUGAUCUUUCCAUAGUUGUCUAAUCGAGAUUCGAAAAUCGAAUAUAGUUGUAAGAUCUGCUGAAAAUUCAAAAAAUCAAUUAAAAAUAAUACAUUAUCAUGAUGACAUAUAGAAUAAUAUUUAUUUGUUAUGUUAUAUAAUUUCAAUUUUAGAAAUAUUUGUUUAUGUUAUAUAAUUUCAAAUUUAGAAAUAUUUGUUAUAAUAAUGUGUUGUAUAUACACAUAUAUUUAUAUAUAUAUAGAUAUAUGUAUGUAUACACACACACACACACACACACACACGCACACACACUUUAUAGCAAAAAUGAAUACUUAUGAUAGUUUAUUUCUACAAACCUGCCAGCAGGGGAGUUGGGGAGAUGUUUCCAUAGUUAUGAAAUUUUCUCAUUGAUCCUUUCCAUAGUUGUCUAAUCGAGAUUCGAAAAUCGGAUAUAGUUGUAAGAUUUGCUGAAAAUUCCAAAGAUCAAUUAAAAAUAAUACAUUAUCAUGAUGACAUAUUUUGAUAAUAUAGGAUUGUCAUUCGUCUAGUUAGAAAUAUUCUUUAUAAUAGAAUGAUAUUUAUUUGUUAUGUUAUAUAAUUUCAAUUUUAGAAAUAUUUGUUUAUGUUAUAUAAUUUCAAAUUUAGAAAUAUUUGAUAUAAUAAUGUGUUGUAUAUACACAUAUAUUUAUAUAUAUAGAUAUAUGUAUGUAUGUAUGUACACACACACACACACACACACACACACACACUUUAUAGCAAAAAUGAAUACUUAUGAUAGUUUAUUUCUACAAACCUGCCAGCAGGGGAGUCGGGGAGAUGUUUUACCCUUUAUUUUGUGCUUGUCAUUUAAUUUAUAUAUUCCUUGUUAUUAAUAUUAGGUCAUAUCGAACUAGUUUUUGAGUUUGUAUAUUUGCAUGCAUUUUCAGC